RNAcentral lists this transfer RNA (82 nucleotides) under Paracoccus limosus. RNAcentral's name for it is "tRNA-Leu". It matches the Rfam family "tRNA". Rfam says of the family: Transfer RNA (tRNA) molecules are approximately 80 nucleotides in length. Lineage: Bacteria; Pseudomonadati; Pseudomonadota; Alphaproteobacteria; Rhodobacterales; Paracoccaceae. The record is from RNAcentral.
GCGGGUGUGGUGGAAUGGUAGACACAAGGAACUUAAAAUUCCCGGCCUAGGCGUGAGGGUUCGAAUCCCUCCACCCGCACCA